UGUAUUCACUACUGUAAGUCACUCAGGAUAAGAGUGUCUGCUAAAUGACUAAAA
This is a non-coding RNA of Salmo salar (Atlantic salmon), 54 nucleotides long. Lineage: Eukaryota; Metazoa; Chordata; Actinopteri; Salmoniformes; Salmonidae. The record is from Rfam.